RNAcentral lists this ribosomal RNA (765 nucleotides) under uncultured Methylobacterium sp. Its description in RNAcentral is "bacterial SSU rRNA". It matches the Rfam family "Bacterial small subunit ribosomal RNA", at positions 597 to 1361 of the family's 1533-position model. The record is from RNAcentral. Lineage: Bacteria; Pseudomonadati; Pseudomonadota; Alphaproteobacteria; Hyphomicrobiales; Methylobacteriaceae.
AAAGCCCGUGGCUCAACCACGGAAUGGCCUUCGAUACUGGCAGGCUUGAGACCGGAAGAGGACAGCGGAACUGCGAGUGUAGAGGUGAAAUUCGUAGAUAUUCGCGGGAACACCAGUGGCGAAGGCGGCUGUCUGGUCCGGUUCUGACGCUGAGGCGCGAAAGCGUGGGGAGCGAACGGGAUUAGAUACCCUGGUAGUCCACGCUGUAAACGAUGAAUGCUAGACCGAUUGGGGUGCAUGAACCUCAGUGGCGCCGCUAACGCAUUAAGCAUUCCGCCUGGGGAGUACGGCCGCAAGAUUAAAACUCAUAGGAAUUGACGGGGGCCGGCACGGGCGGUGGAGCCAUGUGGUUAGUUCGGAGCAACGCGGCAGAACCUUACCAUCCUUUGACAUGGCGUGCUAUGGGGAGAGAUCUCCAGUUCCCUUCGGGGACGCGCACACAGGUGCUGCAUGGCUGUCGUCAGCUCGUGUCGUGAGAUGUUGGGUUAAGUCCCGCAACGAGCGCAACCCUCGCCCUUAGUUGCCAUCAUUCAGUUGGGCACUCUAGGGGGACUGCCGGUGAUAAGCCGCGAGGAAGGUGGGGAUGACGUCAAGUCCUCAUGGCCCUUACGGGAUGGGCUACACACGUGCUACAAUGGCGGUGACAAUGGGAAGCGAAGGGGCGACCUGGAGCGAAUCCCCAAAAGCCGUCUCAGUUCAGAUUGCACUCUGCAACUCGAGUGCAUGAAGGCGGAAUCGCUAGUAAUCGUGGAUCAGCACGCCACG